Molecule: long non-coding RNA, 3203 nt
Organism: Equus caballus (horse)
Lineage: Eukaryota; Metazoa; Chordata; Mammalia; Perissodactyla; Equidae
Source: Ensembl
CGCUCUAUAUUCAUUAAGGUUUAUGAAUUAAAAAUGAGAGCUUUAUGUAGUUAUGCAUGUCAGUUUGCUAUUUAAAAUUUGUGAUGGCAUUUGUCAUAUUAAGAGUGAAUUUGGCAAGAAUUUCCAAGAUGGACUUGCGCUUUUAAACUAGAAUUUAUAAGACAUCAUGUGAAUUCCCCUUGCCAAUUUAUUUUUGCAGUCAAAGGAACAUCUGACUAAAGUCAAAGAAUGAUUUCUUAUGGUUUAUUCUGAUGAAAGUUCUUUUAGCAUAUCACGAACAUACACAUAAAGGAGUCCAAAGCUUUCCAUUCUAACUUAGUCCUUGUAAUAACAUUAUUGCCAUGUUCUACCAUCAUCAGGUGACCAUUUUCAAUGUAGUGAUAUGAAAGAACAUAACAAACUAACUGCUAGCUUUCCUUUGAUUUCAAGAGUCCAAGAAUUUCUAGUAUCUUUGGAUUUUAGCUUACGUUCAGAGCUAAUCCAGAUAUAAUUUCAGUAAGUGGCCUUUGCUCUUUUUUGUACCAAAGAGCCCAGAUGAUUUCUACGAUUCCUUCCUUCUCUAAAGUGCUGUGGUUCUUCAAACACUAGUCAUUUCACUAAGAUCCAAGCCAGUUGCUUUGGGAAGCUGCAUUAACUUAUUCAGGCCCUCAGAUAUCCCAUGGUACAAUUGAUUAAUUGAAAAUCAGAAAUCAGUUUAAUUGCUGAAAGGACCUGUCUCAGUGUGUGAUAUUGACGUUUUGAGGAAAAUAGACAUAGAUUAAUAUGAGUUUUGUGUGUAGGUCAUGUGUAGAUGAGAAGAUUGGUACUUCUCAAUCUAAUAGUUUGGUUUCUUUUACCAGUGGUUUCAAUUUUCUUAGACAUAUUCAGCAAGUUAUGAAAUUUGGCAUAGUAGGUGAGGGGAGAUGUUUUCUGCCUAAUUAAACAUUGGUUCAUUGAGAGUUACAUGGAUUACCAAUUUUUAAAACACUAAAGUUCCAUAAAAUGCGUGAACAAUAGAAAAAUGCUGGACAUUAUUUUGGAUGCUAGCUGCUUGGGCAUUAACUGUGUCAUAUCUGCUUUGAGAUAAAAAGAAAUAUAUCUAUAUCUAGGCUUUAUGUUAUCUGAUAUGUAUUCUGAAUAUCCGUCUUCAUAAAUCAUGGAAAACUCACAACUGACAUUGUAAACCGUGAAAUCACUUUUUAAAUUGGUGCCAUGUAUCUGAUCAUUCUCUUUUGUAAUGUUUCAAAAUUGCCUUUUAAAAUGAUGUCAGAAGUCUGCAGAUUCUAAAUUAUACUGAAAGUUUUGCACCUCUUUGGUAGAACCCAAGUCUAUAAAGAAACUGGCUCUGUGAUAAAUGGUGCCUGCUCAGUGAUAUGGAAGUGCUCCUGGAUUCUGUAUUACAAUCUAAUGUGCUUACCACAGUGCCACUUUUUAAUGAGUCAGAUUGUUUUUUAAUACAGUAAUAGAAUAAGUAACCUAUCCUCUUAAAAAAGGGUUAAGUAUGUGAAAAAUGAAAACAUAUGAAAAAGUAUGUGUCCAUAAUGAAAUGUUGUUUGCUUUUAAUCAGAAACACAUUUCAUUGAGCAUUAAAGUACUUUGGAGAAACGUUGUGGCAUUUUUUGGUGCUCUAAUUCAAUUGAAGUUAAAUUAACAAAAACAUCUAUUCAGAAUUCAUGGGUAUUUCUUAAUGUUUUUCUGCAGCUAGGUUUUGUUUCAACAUGUAAUUCCAAUAUAGAGCUUUUAGCCAUUCCAUAUCUAUGCUUCUUUAACUAAAAAGUGUAUUUUUUUAAAAAGACAGUUUGGCUUAGUGGGGUAGAUGUUGGGAAAAAUCGUCAGGAGGCUCUAUUCUGCCGUUAACUCAUAUUGGUAAAUCACCUCUCCUCUUUGGAUCUCAAUUCUUUUAUUUAUAUACUGAACUUGGAGGUCACAUCUUAGGUGUGAAACCUAUUGAUAUGUGACAGACAAAAAAGAUAAAACAGAGCUGAAACUAUUCCAUAUAAAAUAUCCAACUCUGAUCUCUGUGAAUAAGCAAUUUGAACAUAAAAAGUCAUUACCGUUAGUUCUUGUUUGUAAUGUAAAUAGGGUCCAUUAGUAAAAGUGAAAUUCAGUCUCAUGUAGGGUGAAUUGGAUAACCAUGUAUACAAGAGAUGGCUUUUUUCUUUGCUUAAAUAAAUGUUUUUGGAUCACCUCUGAAGAGUGAAAACCAGUAGUACAUUUUCGUGAUUUUAGUCAGGAAGAGAUUCUAUAAGAUGCGUGUAACAUUUGGAAAUGCCCCACAUCAAGGAUUUAAAUGCUCUCAUUUUAUUAAAAGCUAAGAGCAGAAAAUGUAAGAUGCUCAUAACAUUUUUGAAUGCCAAAAGAUCAUUUAGAAUCCAUUUGGAAAGGGGUAAUCCAUAAAUUACAUUUUAAAAUUGAAAAGGGGGAUAAGAAUUUUAAAGUAAGCCAGCUUGUCUUUGAAACAAUAUUAUUUUGAAAUGGCAUUAAAAGAUAAACAUUCAGGUGGAAAUUCUGACUAGUUCAUUUUUGGUAUUUGAUCAUACAAUUUAUGGUGUUGCUGCUUUCCAUUAACAAGUCUGGAAAUGCCUUUGUUUGAAAAGAUAAAAUAAUGGUACUUUGAUUUCCUAAAAAGGUGUUGUCUUAGAAAUAAUCCAUAUUAAAAUGAAUAUUUAUGAUCCUAAAAUGUUUGCUAAGCAUUGUAAAUUUAUAACUGCCAUCUCCAACUACAUCCUUAUGAUGUUGUUUUUAAAAAUAAAAUUAAGAUAAUAAUAGUUUGAACUAAAAACCAUAGUAUUUUCAGUUACUUGAUUUCUGAGCUAUAAGACUCACUAAAUAAAAUUUUCCAAUCAAAAUAUCCUAUUCUGUAGUCUAAGGAUUAAUGUGUGAUUAUAGUGUCCCACUUGCCACGUUUUUUAAGUCAAUGGACUUGAAAAGUAUUCAGAUAUUUAGAUGGAUGCACAGGUAUAUUGCUAGUCAGUCAUAGAUUGGAGUUUGCGUAUUGUAAUGUAAAUGUAUGUCAAUGCUAUUCUAAAUAGUUUUAUUAUGACUGAAGUUUAAUUAAAUAAAAAAGGUUGUAAAAUGUGAUGUGUUAUGUGUAUAUACUGUAUGUGUACUUUUUAAAAUAGGUAUAUGUCCUGACCCUUUUUUAUACAGGUUUGAAUUUGAAAUUACAUUAUAUAUACAUAUACUUUAUUGUUCUAAAUAAAGAAUUUUAUGCACUCUCAUAA